UCGUUAGUAUGGAUGAUUUUCAGUGAACUAUUUGAAAAGGCUCUAUGGCAUUUGCUAAUAGAAAUGGCACUAAUAAAGGACACCUCGGGUUCUCAGUUCGGUCUUGAUAACUUUGGACUUAACUUUAACUGAUUAUUUGGUACCUUCCUUGGGCUGUUCAUGGAAUAGAGAGCGUUAUUGCUUUUUAUUUGGCGAAUAAAUACAAGUUAUCCAC
Molecule: long non-coding RNA, 214 nt
Organism: Zophobas morio
Lineage: Eukaryota; Metazoa; Arthropoda; Insecta; Coleoptera; Tenebrionidae
Exons: 3
Source: RefSeq, a predicted model, not a curated record